Molecule: long non-coding RNA, 415 nt
Filed under: Apteryx rowi (Okarito brown kiwi)
Lineage: Eukaryota; Metazoa; Chordata; Aves; Apterygiformes; Apterygidae
Description: lncRNA (ENSARWG00000003052.1)
Source: RNAcentral
CUGGGCUGGCUGCCUGUGUCCUGUCUGUGCUGCACCUCAGAAGCUGAAGACUCACUGUCAUAGAAAACAGGAUCUGACUGGUUAGGUAUUCGUUUCCGAUCUGCUCCACUGCUUGUUUCAUGAGGGUUUAUUGCAAUGGUCCAGCAUAACUGGGCACUUGUACAGCUCCUGGUAUGGCUGGCAGUAUCUGAGACUCUUGCAACCUUCCAACGUAUGCCGCUGUAAAGCUGAAAGGUGAUUUAUUGCAGUUGUACAAAGAAAGAGCAGAAAUGCAUCAAAGCUUGUGCUUAUAUGAUGAGAAGCGAGAAGAAAUACAAACUGAUUCUCUAGUGUCAAGGUGCGCACCUGGAGACCAGAAGAACAAUGAAGAGUUAAAAAGGAAGAAGUCAGAAGUUGUUUAAAGAAGACAGUGUGU